UCGGGAAUUUUGGGCAAUGGGCGAAAGCCUGACCCAGCAACGCCGCGUGAGGGAUGAAGUAUUUCGGUAUGUAAACCUCGAAAGAAUGGGAAGAAUAAAUGACGGUACCAUUUAUAAGCUCCGGCUAACUACGUGCCAGCAGCCGCGGUAAUACGUAGGGAGCAAGCGUUGUUCGGAUUUACUGGGCGUAAAGGGCGCGUAGGCGGCGCGGUAAGUCACUUGUGAAAUCUCUGAGCUUAACUCAGAACGGCCAAGUGAUACUGCUGUGCUAGAGUGCGGAAGAGGCAACCGGAAUUCUUGGUGUAGCGGUGAAAUGCGUAGAUAUCAAGAGGAACACCUGAGGCGAAGGCGGGUUGCUGGGCCGACACUGACGCUGAUGCGCGAAAGCCAGGGGAGCAAACG
This 402-nucleotide ribosomal RNA is filed under the name uncultured bacterium. Its description in RNAcentral is "bacterial SSU rRNA". It matches the Rfam family "Bacterial small subunit ribosomal RNA", at positions 355 to 774 of the family's 1533-position model. The record is from RNAcentral.